Gorilla gorilla gorilla (western lowland gorilla) is the source of this 117-nucleotide non-coding RNA. It matches the Rfam family "Metazoan signal recognition particle RNA". From Rfam's summary of the family: The signal recognition particle (SRP) is a universally conserved ribonucleoprotein. It is involved in the co-translational targeting of proteins to membranes. The eukaryotic SRP consists of a 300-nucleotide 7S RNA and six proteins: SRPs 72, 68, 54, 19, 14, and 9. Lineage: Eukaryota; Metazoa; Chordata; Mammalia; Primates; Hominidae. The record is from Rfam.
GCCGGGUGUGGUGGCUCACACCUGUAAUCCUAGCACUUUGGGAGGCUUAGGUGGGUGGAUCACUUGAGGUCAGGAGUUCCAGGCCAGCCUGGCCAAUAUGGUGAAACCCCAUCUCUU